AUGGGAACGCGAAGAACCUUACCUACUCUUGACAUCCAGAGAACUUUCCAGAGAUGGAUUGGUGCCUUCGGGAACGUCUGAGACAGGUGCUGCAUGGCUGUCGUCAGCUCGUGUUGUGAAAUGUUGGGUUAAGUCCCGCAACGAGCGCAACCCGUUAUCCUUUGUUGCCAGCGGUUAGGCCGGGAACUCAAAGGAGACUGCCAGUGAUAAACUGGAGGAAGGUGGGGAUGACGUCAAGUCAUCAUGGCCCUUACGAGUAGGGCUACACACGUGCUACAAUGGCGCAUACAAAGAGAAGCGACCUCGCGAGAGCAAGCGGACCUCAUAAAGUGCGUCGUAGUCCGGAUUGGAGUCUGCAACUCGACUCCAUGAAGUCGGAAUCGCUAGUAAUCGUAGAUCAGAAUGCUACGGUGAA
This 415-nucleotide ribosomal RNA is filed under the name uncultured bacterium. Its description in RNAcentral is "bacterial SSU rRNA". It matches the Rfam family "Bacterial small subunit ribosomal RNA", at positions 954 to 1366 of the family's 1533-position model. The record is from RNAcentral.